CUGAGUGCUGAUGGGCGAG
Molecule: non-coding RNA, 19 nt
Filed under: Drosophila melanogaster (fruit fly)
Lineage: Eukaryota; Metazoa; Arthropoda; Insecta; Diptera; Drosophilidae
Source: RNAcentral